GAUCAUGGCUCAGGAUGAACGCUAGCGACAGGCUUAACACAUGCAAGUCGAGGGGCAGCGGGGAGUAGCAAUACUUCGCCGGCGACCGGCGCACGGGUGAGUAACACGUGUGCAACCAACCCCGUACCGGGAGAUAACCCGCGGAAACGUGGACUAACAUCCCAUAACACUCUAGAGCCGCAUGGCUCUGGAUUUAAAAUUCCGGUUGUACGGGACGGGCACGCGCGACAUUAGGUAGUUGGCGGGGUAACGGCCC
This 256-nucleotide ribosomal RNA is filed under the name uncultured bacterium. Its description in RNAcentral is "partial 16S ribosomal RNA". It matches the Rfam family "Bacterial small subunit ribosomal RNA", at positions 15 to 266 of the family's 1533-position model. The record is from RNAcentral.